GGCUAGUCCGAUGGUAGUGGGUUAUCAGAACUUAUUUACAUUACUGUCUCUAAAGUUGGUAUAUAACCCCCCCCCCACUGCUAAAUUUGACUGGCUUUUA
Molecule: Y RNA, 100 nt
Filed under: Microcebus murinus (gray mouse lemur)
Lineage: Eukaryota; Metazoa; Chordata; Mammalia; Primates; Cheirogaleidae
Description: Y RNA (ENSMICG00000045592.1)
Rfam family: Y RNA
About the family: Y RNAs are components of the Ro ribonucleoprotein particle (Ro RNP), in association with Ro60 and La proteins. The Y RNAs and Ro60 and La proteins are well conserved, but the function of the Ro RNP is not known. In humans the RNA component can be one of four small RNAs -- hY1, hY3, hY4 and hY5.
Source: Rfam by way of RNAcentral